This 622-nucleotide long non-coding RNA is filed under the name Nicotiana benthamiana. RNAcentral describes it as "long non-coding RNA (NBEN_LNC033228)". The record is from RNAcentral. Lineage: Eukaryota; Viridiplantae; Streptophyta; Magnoliopsida; Solanales; Solanaceae.
UUUUUAAAGCCUUUAGAGGAGCCUGUCAUGUGUCUAUUCGCACCAGAAUUAAUAACCCAAAAAUUAAGGUGAGCAUUAAAGGCAAUACAUGACUGCACGUAAUUGGAAGUGGCAACAUUAGAAGAGUCAAGUUUAUUUAGGAGACAGCGAAGAUGUUGAACUUCAUCCGAAGACAUUCUCCAGAAGUAGUUUCCCUGGAUGUCUCCACAUUUUCUGCAAUAUUAGCCUCAACCCCCAAUGGACCUACAUGUUAUCCUCCACCGCCUCUAGUUGGUCUACCAUGUAGUUUCCAGCAUGUCUCCUUCGUAUGCCUUGGCUUUCCACAGUAAUCAAAGUGUAGGUGAUCUUUAUCAGAAGUGAACGCCUUUGGUUGUUCAUGAGACACAUCUAACCCGGACUUCUCCAUUGGUGUUGAAUAAAGCAUGACCCAUCGUCGGCUCUCUAGUGUUGAACAUAAGAGUAUGCAUCGUGAAGAGAAGGAAAAGGAACUUUAUCGAGAACUUGAACCCUGAUCUAAUCAUAUUCUUCAUUUAAACCGGCUAAAAAAUCAUAGACCCUUUCCGUUUCAACAAAUCGUUCAAAGAUAACUGCAUCAUCAGUACACUUUCCUUGGAGAUCCUCA